AGUGAACGCUGGCGGUAGGCCUAACACAUGCAAGUCGAACGGCAGCACAGUAAGAGCUUGCUCUUACGGGUGGCGAGUGGCGGACGGGUGAGGAAUACAUCGGAAUCUACUUUUUCGUGGGGGAUAACGUAGGGAAACUUACGCUAAUACCGCAUACGACCUACGGGUGAAAGCAGGGGAUCUUUGGACCUUGCGCGAUUGAAUGAGCCGAUGUCGGAUUAGCUAGUUGGCGGGGUAAAGGCCCACCAAGACGACGAUCCGUAGCUGGUCUGAGAGGAUGGUAGCCCACCCUGGAGAGGAGACCGGCCCCAGCCUCCUCGGGGAGCGACCAGUGGGGAAUUUGGGACAGGGGGGGCAAGCCUGACCCAGCCAUCCCGGGUGGGUGAAAGAGGCUUUGGGGUUGUAAAGCCUUUUUGUGGGGAAAAAAAAGCAGCAGGUUAAUACCCCGCUGUUCUGACGGUACCAAAAAAAAAAGCACCGGCUAACUUCGUG
Molecule: ribosomal RNA, 492 nt
Filed under: uncultured bacterium
Lineage: Bacteria
Description: partial 16S ribosomal RNA
Rfam family: Bacterial small subunit ribosomal RNA
Source: RNAcentral